RNAcentral lists this ribosomal RNA (468 nucleotides) under uncultured bacterium. RNAcentral describes it as "partial 16S ribosomal RNA". It matches the Rfam family "Bacterial small subunit ribosomal RNA", at positions 28 to 507 of the family's 1533-position model. The record is from RNAcentral.
GACGAACGCUGGCGGCGUGCUUAACACAUGCAAGUCGAACGGAAAGGCCCUGCUUUUGUGGGUUGCUCGAUUGGCGAACGGGUGAGUAACACGUGAGUAACCUGUCCUUGACUUUGGGAUAACUUCAGGAAACUCGGGCUAAUACCGGAUAGGAGCUCCUGCUGCAUGGUGGGGGUUGGAAAGUUUCGGCUGUUGGGGAUGGAUUCGCGGCUUAUCAGCUUGUUGGUGGGGUAGUGGCUUACCAAGGGUUUGACGGGUAGCCGGCCUGAGAGGGUGACCGGCGACAUUGGGCCUGAGAUACGGCCCAGACGCCUACGGGAGGCAGCGGUGGGGAAUCUUGCACAAUAGGCGGAAGCCUGAUGCAGCAACGCCGCGUGCGGGAUGACGGCCUUCGGGUUGUAAACCGCUUUCGCCUGUGACGAAGCGUGAGUGACGGUAAUGGGUAAAGAAGCACCGGCUAACUACGUG